RNAcentral lists this non-coding RNA (253 nucleotides) under uncultured Planctomycetales bacterium. Its description in RNAcentral is "contains 16S-23S intergenic spacer region". It matches the Rfam family "Bacterial small subunit ribosomal RNA", at positions 524 to 776 of the family's 1533-position model. Lineage: Bacteria; Pseudomonadati; Planctomycetota; Planctomycetia; Planctomycetales. RNAcentral also lists the same sequence under 1 other name. The record is from RNAcentral.
UACGUACUGGGCGAACGUUAUUCGGAAUCACUGGGCUUAAAGGGUGCGUAGGCGGCCUUCCAGGUCCGGUGUGAAAUCUCUCGGCUCAACCGAGAAACUGCGCUGGAAACCGGAAGGCUUGAGUGUGCUAGGGGUGUGUGGAACUUCCAGUGGAGCGGUGAAAUGUGUUGAUAUUGGAAGGAACGCCGGUGGCGAAAGCGACACACUGGGGCAUAACUGACGCUGAGGCACGAAAGCUAGGGUAGCGAACGGG